AAUGAGAAUAUCUAAUCGGAUUUACUGAGUAGCAAGGACAUGUGAAGCAUUGGGGUAGGCAUUUCAGGUAAAUAACCUCUCUCCAAUCCUCACAGCAACACCAGGAGGAGGCAAGGACUGGAAACCUGUUUUCCAGGCCAGGAGACAGAAGUUCUUCCAGGGGCACACCUUGUCCAGUGACCUGUUACUUGUAAAAUACAAAGCAGUGAUGAAAGAGUUCAUGUCUUGGAAACCCCCAGGGAAGCUGAAUUCUCCCACAGAGUUUUAAUUGUCCAAUCCAUGAUGAUCUAUUCUUCUUCUUUGAGCACUAAGACCUUGUGAUAGAAAAGAACCUUUGACACUUUGUGGGAUAAAGGACACCAUUGGUUGUGGUCUUUUCUGUGAAAACCAGCUCCCUAGGAGCUCUCUCAGUAUUGAAAAGUCCCAGCCCCAACUCCGCCUUACCCUUUUGACCCUGUCCCAAAGGAACUGGACCAACUAAGUGAUUCCAUCCCCACAGUAGCCUCCACCCAUCUUCAUCCAAGCUUGAAUAUAGUUUCCCAUGCAAACCUUAUUAUGGAUGCCACUGAAUUCCAUCUACCUUGUCUCAGUGUCU
This is a long non-coding RNA of Sapajus apella (tufted capuchin), 595 nucleotides long. RefSeq lists it as uncharacterized. Lineage: Eukaryota; Metazoa; Chordata; Mammalia; Primates; Cebidae. The transcript is spliced from 3 exons. The record is from RefSeq and is a predicted model, not a curated record.